CGUAGGGGGCGAGCGUUAUCCGGAAUUAUUGGGCGUAAAGCGCGCGCAGGCGGCUGAUUAAGUCAGGUGUGAAAGGCUGCGGCUCAACCGCAGAGCGGCACCUGAAACUGGUCAGCUUGAGUGCAGGAGAGGGGAGCGGAAUUCCCGGUGUAGCGGUGGAAUGCGUAGAGAUCGGGAGGAACACCAGUGGCGAAGGCGGCUCUCUGGCCUGUAACUGACGCUGAGGCGCGAAAGCGUGGGGAGCAAACAGGA
This 252-nucleotide ribosomal RNA is filed under the name uncultured Thermoactinomyces sp. RNAcentral describes it as "partial 16S ribosomal RNA". It matches the Rfam family "Bacterial small subunit ribosomal RNA", at positions 526 to 777 of the family's 1533-position model. Lineage: Bacteria; Bacillati; Bacillota; Bacilli; Caryophanales; Thermoactinomycetaceae. The record is from RNAcentral.